Molecule: ribosomal RNA, 648 nt
Filed under: uncultured Clostridium sp.
Lineage: Bacteria; Bacillati; Bacillota; Clostridia; Eubacteriales; Clostridiaceae
Description: bacterial SSU rRNA
Rfam family: Bacterial small subunit ribosomal RNA
Source: RNAcentral
CUCACACAUGCAAGUCGAGCGAUCUUCUUCGGAAGGGAGCGGCGGACGGGUGAGUAACGCGUGGGUAACCUGCCCUGUACACACGGAUAACAUACCGAAAGGUAUGCUAAUACGGGAUAACAUAAGAAAGUCGCAUGGCUUUCUUAUCAAAGCUUUUGCGGUACAGGAUGGACCCGCGUCUGAUUAGCUAGUUGGUAAGGUAACGGCUCACCAAGGCGACGAUCAGUAGCCGACCUGAGAGGGUGAUCGGCCACAUUGGAACUGAGACACGGUCCAAACUCCUACGGGAGGCAGCAGUGGGGAAUAUUGCACAAUGGGCGAAAGCCUGAUGCAGCAACGCCGCGUGAGCGAUGAAGGCCUUCGGGUCGUAAAGCUCUGUCCUCAAGGAAGAUAAUGACGGUACUUGAGGAGGAAGCCCCGGCUAACUACGUGCCAGCAGCCGCGGUAAUACGUAGGGGGCUAGCGUUAUCCGGAAUUACUGGGCGUAAAGGGUGCGUAGGCGGUCUUUCAAGUCAGAAGUGAAAGGCUACGGCUCAACCGUAGUAAGCUUUUGAAACUGUAAGACUUGAGUGCAGGAGAGGAGAGUGGAAUUCCUAGUGUAGCGGUGAAAUGCGUAGAUAUUAGGAGGAACACCAGUUGCGAAGGCGG